RNAcentral lists this long non-coding RNA (1007 nucleotides) under Bemisia tabaci. Its description in RNAcentral is "lncRNA ENSSSA1UGG008098". Lineage: Eukaryota; Metazoa; Arthropoda; Insecta; Hemiptera; Aleyrodidae. The record is from RNAcentral.
CCAAGCUGGAUGGCAUGGCGUGGCGCGGCGGAGGAACCGCGGCAACCACAGGCGCACGGCUGAGGACAGGUAGAUCCGCAGGCCGCAGGUCCCGCAGGUAGGAUCCUCAGCUUUGCACGCUCUCUCGCGGGGAGCCUAGUUUCUUGGCAUUCCAUUUCCUCGCCAGGUACCAGUCUUGAGUCACCAUCCGUGGAGUGCGUCGGCCCGCCGCGUCCUAACUCCUUCCCCCGCUCGCCGCGCCGGUCAUUCCCCCUGUGCGUUGUGUGUGUGCCCCGACAAGUGCUUCUAACCGGUCCCCUAUGCGUUACUGACUCCCGAAAUCAAGUGUGCUUUUGACAAUGUGUGUGUGUUUUCGUUUCUAAGGGAUUAAACUAACUCUCAUCACAGAAAUACAGCGCGCAUCCAAAGUGAUGGUGAUACGAAACUGGGCGACCAUAUCGGUCGUCAUAGCAACCUGCUUUUUAGCGCAGGCCUCGCCUCAGGGGUCGAAUAAUUUAUUCACAUGUCCUGCAGGUAAGAACCCCAGACAUUUUAUUUAUACCUGCACGUCAAUUUAGAGACUGCGGCUGUUGCACGAAAGAAUACCAAUGAAGUAACCACGAAACACCACGGGAAAUCAUCUGACAAAAAUCUAUCACCCUUGAAAUCCAUUUAAAUAUUCUUUGAUGUUGCAUUCUGACUUGUUUCUAAUUCUCCUCGAUUUUUUCCGUAAUAUAUCAAGUUUUACUUAAACACUCAAGGCUCCAUAGAGGUUUUUAAAAAAAGCUUUGUUUCACACCAUGCCAUAGGUAGAAAAUGCAUUUUAGAGUCUCUAAUCAAGCAAUUAGCCUAUACUUGCUCAAAUGAGUUUUAAAAAGCAGUGACAUUAUUUUGCCAUGCAUUAAAUAACUGAUGUAACACAAUCAAAGUAAAUAAACCUGUAAGUGGCAUUAGUGAUGUUGCAGAUUUCUAGGUAAAAAUGUAAAAAUUAUUAUUAUUUUUGUAAAGCCGCGAGGUUGAAUCGUGUG